RNAcentral lists this ribosomal RNA (200 nucleotides) under uncultured bacterium. RNAcentral describes it as "partial 16S ribosomal RNA". It matches the Rfam family "Bacterial small subunit ribosomal RNA", at positions 8 to 204 of the family's 1533-position model. The record is from RNAcentral.
AGAGUUUGAUCAUGGCUCAGGACGAACGCUGGCGGCGUGCCUAAUACAUGCAAGUCGAGCGAGGUGGAGGAAGCUUGCUUCCAAAACCUAGCGGCGGACGGGUGAGUAACACGUAGGCAACCUACCUGUAAGACUGGGAUAACUUCGGGAAACCGGUGCUAAUACCAGAUAAGCUGUAUCUCUGCAUGGAGAUGCACUAA